AUCUUGAUCUAAUCAAAGACAUGGACUUGAUCCAUCUACAACUAUUGUAAAUUGAUCUAGAAUUUUCUUGACCUAAUCUAGUUACUACUUAAUUAGAUUUGAUCAAUUAAUUCUAUUUGUCCAUGUAUGAUUCUAACCUUAGGUCUAAUCCAAUUCUAGAAACUUGAUUCAAGCUAACCCAAAUGCCCAAAGAAUUAUGCAAUGUCAAUUAAUUGAGUUACAAUUCUAUUUCAUAACACUUAAUUCUCAA
This 250-nucleotide long non-coding RNA is filed under the name Phoenix dactylifera (date palm). RNAcentral's name for it is "long non-coding RNA (PDAC_LNC012968)". Lineage: Eukaryota; Viridiplantae; Streptophyta; Magnoliopsida; Arecales; Arecaceae. The record is from RNAcentral.